GACCGCGUAGCUCAGUUGGCAGAGCAUUGGGCUAGUAUUCCAAAGGUCGUAGGUUCGAUUUCCACUGUGGCCA
RNAcentral lists this transfer RNA (73 nucleotides) under Paramuricea clavata. It matches the Rfam family "tRNA". From Rfam's summary of the family: Transfer RNA (tRNA) molecules are approximately 80 nucleotides in length. Lineage: Eukaryota; Metazoa; Cnidaria; Anthozoa; Malacalcyonacea; Plexauridae. The record is from Rfam by way of RNAcentral.